UAGUGUAUAUCUUCUCGUGGGCAAGAUGUCUCAUGGCGACACCACCUUGUGAUUCCUUCAAAUGAGCAAACGGAACCAACAGUUUGAAACACAAAAGGUGGUUAGCGUGAGCACAAUAGCCAUCAUUCAUGUGGUGAUUCACCCAACAAGUGUCGUCAUUGUGCUCAGUAUAAUGUGUGCCACGAGGAUGAGGAGUAUGUGCCAUUCACCUCAAUUCAUGUCGUUCCUCACGUCGGGCUUGUUCAUCAUCUUGCGCCUCUCGUUCUCUUCUUUGGCGCUCUUGGUGUUAGAAUUGAGCGUCACGGAGUGCUUAUUGUGCUUCGUUUUCUUGGCGAAGGGUGUCUUAUUCUUGGCGCAUUUGUU
Molecule: long non-coding RNA, 363 nt
Filed under: Triticum aestivum (bread wheat)
Lineage: Eukaryota; Viridiplantae; Streptophyta; Magnoliopsida; Poales; Poaceae
Description: long non-coding RNA (TAES_LNC010267)
Source: RNAcentral